AAACUGAGGCCAUGUCACCAAGCUGGGCACAGUCAUCAAUCGUUUGACUGUCCUGGGCCUAGGGCUCCUUGGGAAGCUUCAUUCAGUGUCAGCGGGAGAUAUUGCACCUGUGGAAUGAGACUCAAUAUCUCCCCAAGCUGGCCAGGGUGGCAGAGGGAUCUCAGAGUUGGUGUUCCCUUGGACACCAUGGUCACAGAGGGGACAAGAUAAACCAAGGAACAGAGCCUUCCAUGUCUAUGUAAUGAGCUGAAGAUGGGAAGGAGACACUGAAAGCUGAAGCCACCUCCUGCAGGAAUGUCUCUAAGGAAUGGAGGAAGGAACAUCAGCUGGGAAGCCCUAAAAGCAGGACUCUGGCCCUUGGACACUCAAAUCAGGAAGGCUUUAGUUCAACACAGUGGAGGGUUUUGUAAUGAUGGAGCUGUCUGACAGCUAGAGAUGGGAACUCAAGCACCAGGCAGACUGGAGAGGGCCUUUACUGUUGAUCAUCCAGUCGAGGAUGAAGUAAGUUAUUUCACGGAAAGCACUCAGAAACCUGCUCACUGAAGCUCACUAAAUGCCACCUGUGUUCAGUAUGUCCUUAGCACGGACACUGGCAGAACUCAGCCAGUCUAGGCAGAGGAGCCCCUGGGAUGAGAGAGAGCAGAUGCCAGUGCUGUCUGCUGUUGACAUGAGGAGUCUUCGAAACUUUUCUCCCUGAAGCCUCGAUUCCACUGCCUGCCAUCGGCUUGGAUUAAAUGGCUGUGCCUCCA
This is a long non-coding RNA of Mastomys coucha (southern multimammate mouse), 749 nucleotides long. RefSeq lists it as uncharacterized. Lineage: Eukaryota; Metazoa; Chordata; Mammalia; Rodentia; Muridae. The transcript has 3 exons. The record is from RefSeq and is a predicted model, not a curated record.